UACAGAGGGGGCAAGCGUUGUUCGGAAUUACUGGGCGUAAAGGGCGCGUAGGCGGCCUCUUAAGUCGAACGUGAAAUCCCCGGGCUCAACCCGGGAACUGCGUCCGAUACUGGGGGGCUUGAAUCCGGGAGAGGGAUGUGGAAUUCCAGGUGUAGCGGUGAAAUGCGUAGAUAUCUGGAGGAACACCGGUGGCGAAGGCGGCAUCCUGGACCGACACUGACGCUGAGGAGCGAAAGCCAGGGGAGCAAACGGG
Molecule: ribosomal RNA, 253 nt
Filed under: uncultured bacterium
Lineage: Bacteria
Description: partial 16S ribosomal RNA
Rfam family: Bacterial small subunit ribosomal RNA
Source: RNAcentral